This is a long non-coding RNA of Acinonyx jubatus (cheetah), 1249 nucleotides long. RefSeq lists it as uncharacterized. The transcript has 3 exons. The record is from RefSeq and is a predicted model, not a curated record. NCBI's taxonomy places the organism in Eukaryota, Metazoa, Chordata, Mammalia, Carnivora, Felidae.
AGAAUUCUUACUCCUCAAUCUCUGUGAAAGUCUCAAUGUUAUACGUUCAAAUCAACAUCUCUCCUCUGAAAAAGCAGAUCGGCAGGUGGGGAUUUUCUCACUUGUCUGUGAACCCCUCGUGGGUAGGUGCUGUCUAUGCAUCUCUAGCAAACAGAACCUAGUAAAGCAUCUGGAAUGAAUGAACCCAUCCAUCGAUCAGCAACUACUCGCCCCAUCUUGCAAAUCAAUCCACUUGAUUCUCACAAGAGCACUGUAAGAUGUAAAGGAUUGGUCAUGUACCACGUUUGCAGAUAUAUGGACAUGGAGGGCAAGGAAAUCAAGUGACUUCUCAAGUUCAUGAAGGUAAUUAAACAGCAAGGCAAGGACUUGACCCCAUGUCUUCCUGCUGCAGAUCCAGAGCACUUUUCUCUCUAUUCUAAGUACUUACAAGCAAGGAAAAUGAUACCAGGUCCUCUGUACUCUCCAGUGACUUUCCUUUCUUUCUCCCAGGGUUUUGGAGUCAAACUCAAUAGAGAUAUACACUGUAAAUUACAGUUCAAGAUUUUGGUCUGUGGCUAUUCGAUACAAUGUAGUACCAGGAUUUCACGUGUAAAACAGCAACUUUAACUUUUUUUCCUACCAAUUAUUUCCUCCAGUGUCUUUUGAAAUCUUUGCUUCCUCUCCACUUUCAGGAUACUCCAUGGAACAAGAAUGAAAGCAGAGAUGAGCGACAAGAAUCUGGGGACAUUUUUACAGAAUAUACCACUGAGAAUGUGGGAUUUUUUUCCCCUUAAAGAGCCACAGCAGCUUGGGAUGAAAGGGGAGCCUUCUAGGGGGCAUCAUUGUCCCAGAGCAAAUCAGCACCAGCUGUCCAACUGCACAGACAGAGCCUUUGACAGCGACACCUUGUGGUAAUGAGAAUUAAUAGCAGUAAAAGAGGAGACUUGCUCUCUUGGGUAUGGAGAUCAGACUGACUCCUCUUGAGACUGUGCAAACCUCCUCCAGAAUUCCUUGACAUGGUUGGGGGGAGGGGAGUAAAAAUUUCCAAGAGAGGCAUCUGUUUUCAGCUAAGUAAUCAUUUAGACAUUCGAGCAAUAAAUUAGAAAAACAAAAGAGGGAAGACCUAUGGAGGGGCAGAGAGAGAAGGUGGUAAUCUACAAACCCAGGAGAGAGGCCUCAGGAGAAACCAAACCUACCAGCACCUUAAUUCCGACUUCCAGCCUCCAGAACUGUGAGAAGAUAAUUUCUGUUGCUUAAGCCACCCAGUCUA